This 440-nucleotide ribosomal RNA is filed under the name uncultured Janthinobacterium sp. RNAcentral's name for it is "bacterial SSU rRNA". It matches the Rfam family "Bacterial small subunit ribosomal RNA", at positions 358 to 790 of the family's 1533-position model. The record is from RNAcentral. Lineage: Bacteria; Pseudomonadati; Pseudomonadota; Betaproteobacteria; Burkholderiales; Oxalobacteraceae.
GGAAUUUUGGACAAUGGGCGCAAGCCUGAUCCAGCAAUGCCGCGUGAGUGAAGAAGGCCUUCGGGUUGUAAAGCUCUUUUGUCAGGGAAGAAACGGUGAGGGCUAAUAUCCCUUGCUAAUGACGGUACCUGAAGAAUAAGCACCGGCUAACUACGUGCCAGCAGCCGCGGUAAUACGUAGGGUGCAAGCGUUAAUCGGAAUUACUGGGCGUAAAGCGUGCGCAGGCGGUUUUGUAAGUCUGAUGUGAAAUCCCCGGGCUCAACCUGGGAAUUGCAUUGGAGACUGCAAGGCUAGAAUCUGGCAGAGGGGGGUAGAAUUCCACGUGUAGCAGUGAAAUGCGUAGAUAUGUGGAGGAACACCGAUGGCGAAGGCAGCCCCCUGGGUCAAGAUUGACGCUCAUGCACGAAAGCGUGGGGAGCAAACAGGAUUAGAUACCCUUG